This 398-nucleotide unclassified non-coding RNA is filed under the name rhizosphere metagenome. RNAcentral describes it as "partial ribosomal RNA internal transcribed spacer region". The record is from RNAcentral.
GUAGGUGAACCUGCGGAAGGAUCAUUAAUACGCUUUUGUUUGUAACAAAACAAAACGUUUUAAACUCCAAAAGAAAUAGUGGAAAUAUAACUUCCGGAUGCGAAUGUUGGGAACUGAGUAAAAUCGGUUCUUUGAAAAAGGGACUUCAAGCAAUUGACACUUCAGAGUAGAGCAGUGAGGUGAAAUUCUCGUUUUCGAGCGAGAGUUUGGUUCUGAAAAACAUUUGUAUCCGGUUAUCAUAAUCUGUUCUACAACACAAAAUAUCAAACAAUAAACCCCAUGUACAACAACUUGAACUAAACAUUUUUUUGUUGUCUGCUCGCCCUUGUGUGAGAAGAUGCUACAAAGAAAAAACCUGAACUUAAGAACAACUCUUAACAACGGAUAUCUUGGUUCUC